This 314-nucleotide unclassified non-coding RNA is filed under the name uncultured fungus. RNAcentral's name for it is "sequence contains ITS1". The record is from RNAcentral. Lineage: Eukaryota; Fungi.
UUUUUAUCAUUAAUUUGUAUAGUCAUCUAAGGGUGAGUAAACACGCAAUAGACUCCUAAUUAUUGGUAAAUCAUAAUCAGAUCAACAUUUGAAAUGUUAUUUGUUUUUAUAAGUUGGGUAUCCGAAGACACCACAAGAGAUAAAAAGGUUACACGGGACGCAAUAGUCAGAUCCAGAGUUCGGUUUUGAAGCCUGACUCUUUCACCUUCCAUUGUUUUUUAGCUCAUGUUAUAUUUUCAUCCCGGAGGAUUCCAACAUUAUACACAAGUAAAAGAGGUGUGGUAAUGAUCCUUCCGCAGGUUCACCUACGGAAA